This 459-nucleotide ribosomal RNA is filed under the name uncultured bacterium. RNAcentral's name for it is "partial 16S ribosomal RNA". It matches the Rfam family "Bacterial small subunit ribosomal RNA", at positions 338 to 795 of the family's 1533-position model. The record is from RNAcentral.
CCUACGGGUGGCAGCAGUGAGGAAUAUUGGUCAAUGGACGAGAGUCUGAACCAGCCAAGCCGCGUGAAGGAUGACGGCCCUAUGGGUUGUAAACUUCUUUUAUAAAGGAAUAAAACGAGGCACGUGUGCCUUUUUGCAUGUACUUUAUGAAUAAGGAUCGGCUAACUCCGUGCCAGCAGCCGCGGUAAUACGGAGGAUCCGAGCGUUAUCCGGAUAUAUUGGGUUUAAAGGGUGCGCAGGGGGAAGGUCAAGUCAGCGGUAAAAUUGAGAGGCUCAACCUCUGCGAGCCAUUGAAACUGGUUGUCUUGAGUGAGUGAGAGGUAUGCGGAAUGCGAGGUGUAGCGGUGAAAUGCAUAGAUAUCACGCAGAACUCCGAUUGCGAAGGCAGCAUACCGGCGCGCAACUGACGCUCAUGCACGAAAGUGUGGGUAUCGAACAGGAUUAGAUACCCUUGUAGUC